ACGCUAGCUACAGGCUUAACACAUGCAAGUCGAGGGGAAACGGCAUUUAGUGCUUGCACCGAAUGGACGUCGACCGGCGCACGGGUGAGUAACGCGUGUCCAACCUACCCAUUACUGUGGGAUAACCUGCCGAAAGGCAGACUAAUACCGCAUGGUCUUCGAUGACGGCAUCAGAUUUGAAGUAAAGAUUUAUCGGUAAUGGAUGGGGAUGCGUCUGAUUAGCUUGUUGGCGGGGUAACGGCCCACCAAGGCGACGAUCAGUAGGGGUUCUGAGAGGAAGGUCCCCCACAUUGGAACUGAGACACGGUCCAAACUCCUACGGGAGGCAGCAGUGAGGAAUAUUGGUCAAUGGGCGAGAGCCUGAACCAGCCAAGUAGCGUGCAGGAUGACGGCCCUAUGGGUUGUAAACUGCUUUUGUAUGGGGAUAAAGUCAAUCACGUGUGAUUGUUUGCAGGUACCAUACGGAUAAGGACCGGCUAAUUCCGUGCCAGCAGCCGCGGUAAUACGGAAGGUCCAGGCGUUAUCCGGAUUUAUUGGGUUUAAAGGGAGCGUAGGCCGGAGAUUAAGUGUGUUGUGAAAUGUAGACGCUCAACGUCUGACUUGCAGCGCAUACUGGUUUCCUUGAGUACGCACAACGUUGGCGGAAUUCGUCGUGUAGCGGUGAAAUGCUUAGAUAUGACGAAGAACUCCGAUUGCGAAGGCAGCUGACGGGAGCGCAACUGACGCUUAAGCUCGAAGGUGCGGGUAUCGAACAGGAUUAGAUACCCUGGUAGUCCGCACAGUAAACGAUGGAUGCCCGCUGUUGGUACCUGGUAUCAGCGGCUAAGCGAAAGCAUUAAGCAUCCCACCUGGGGAGUACGCCGGCAACGGUGAAACUCAAAGGAAUUGACGGGGGCCCGCACAAGCGGAGGAACAUGUGGUUUAA
RNAcentral lists this ribosomal RNA (925 nucleotides) under uncultured bacterium. RNAcentral's name for it is "bacterial SSU rRNA". It matches the Rfam family "Bacterial small subunit ribosomal RNA", at positions 33 to 949 of the family's 1533-position model. The record is from RNAcentral.